CUUUUUUUUUUUUUUUUUUUGCCAACAUCUGGACAAUGCAUCUGGAGCCAGCAUAUAGUCUUCUGGAAAUUCCAUUUAAAUUGACAAAGGGAAAUGAAUUUGGCUAGUAUAAAAACUGCCUCAUUUUGGCCCUCAUGCCAGUGGGAUAUCUGGCCAGAGUCUUCUGCAGCAGACAUCUCCCUGGGUUUCAGCAUGCCGCAUUAGUCCCUGUCCGGCCCACCAGAUCAUUCUCCAAGAGUGAUUGCAAGGUCUAUUUUGUAGGUUUGGAGAGCAACCCCCAAUCCUACACUCAGCAACCUCAGAGUGAUGAGGAUGGCAUUGCCAUUACCAAGGUACUACCAAGUUCCCUGCCCAGGCUGAGGCAGGAACAGUCAGGAGGCCAGGCAUCAGCACAUUCUUGGGUGUUCCCUACACCUUUCUCCUUUUCCUGGGGUCUCUGCUGCACAUACUCUUAACACAGGUUUUGUGCUGGCUUAUGCCUUGUAACUUUUGCCCAAAGCUCUUGCCUUGGGAAUAGUCAUGCCUCAUCCAUUCAUUCAUCCAUUCUUCCAUGGAUUUAUUCAAGAUGUAUUUAAUGAGCACCUGCUACAUAUCAGGCACAGUGUACAAUGCUAGAGAGAUAGCAGGGACAGAAAAGACAAACAUCCCUACCCUCGUAGAGCUUCCUUUCUAGUGGAGAAGGCAGAUUACAAAGAAAAUGAAGCAAUCUGUAGAGAAGGUAAUGAAAGCAGUGGAGAAAUAGAUGCAGGGAGGGGAUACAGAGUUCUAAGCUUGUGAUCCAGGAAGGCAGUCUAGAGGGCAGAUGUGAAGGAGAGGAGAUGAGCCAGAAGGAAUCCAAGACAAAAGGCAGGUGGCAGGGUGCUGGCUCCACUCCAAAUGUGUGUUCCGUGUUACCCCCUGGGGUGUGGGGUGCCUUGGAGGCAUUUGAGCAAGAAAGUGACCCAAUGGGUCUUACAUUUUAGCAGCAUUAUUCUGGCUGCUCUGAAGGGGAAGGGCAGAAGCAUGGGACCCAUAUUUGGAGGCUGAUGUAAUAAUCUGCUUGGAUCAGAAUGUAGAAGCGGGCAUGGUGGGGAGUGGUAGGAUUCUGAACACACUUUGAGGAGAAAGCAGACAAGCUUUUGUGAUGGACAUGAUGUGGGGUGGAGAGAAAGGGGAGAGUCAAAGACACCAGGUCUGGCCUGUGUGGUGGCUGGUGGCCAGGACAGCAUCACCUGUCUGCUACAGGAGACGGGGGAGCAGGUGGAGGCGGCCAUGUUGGGUGAAGGGCAUUAAGUCCUCACUGUGCAUCUUUUAGAAGCAAGGAAAGCAUCUUAGACACAGAAGAAGUGAUGUAUUCAAAAUGGCUUUAGCCAAAUAAUAUGCUGGCAUGUACACUUUCUCAGUCAACCCUUAAAAGUAUCUUAUAGAGUAGAUGCUUUUAUUAAUCAUUAUUAUAGUGAAAAUUAUUAUAUAUUUAAUUAAUAAUUAUUAUAAUUGUAUAACUAUAACUAUAAUAAUGAUACUUGUUAUAAUUAUUAUUUAAUUAAAAUAAUUAUAAUUUUAUAUGAUAGAUAAUUUUAUUUUUAUUGUUAUUACUAUAACUGCUACUACUACUAUUUGUAGAUGAAAAAAAUUAAGGCUCAAAGAAGUCAAAACACUAGCAUUAAGUUCUUCAGUUUAUGGCUACCAAUUUUUAAACUUGGGACUGUCUUUUUGCUCACUAAAUGUGGGUUGUAAAGGCUUAGAUGAGCCACAGGGACAGCAUUCUACAAAGGCAGUGCAAGUGAUUUUUGCUUUUGCUUUUGCUUUUUCCUGAAGCCAGUAACCACUUGCUUUUGUUACUCCUGGAGCUGUCUGCUGAGCCUUUAUCAUUUUUUUAUCCAUAGCUGUGAUGUAGUUGCCUUCUGUGUAGCAAGCUCCAUGGUUCUGGGGAUAUGAUGUUGUGCAAACACGAGUAUGCCCCUUGCCUUCUUGCAGCUUACUCUUUAUUUAUAGAAACAAAGAUAAAAUUACACCUGUGAUAAGCGCUUCAAAGGAGAGGAUCUGGGUGUGGUGAGGGUGUUUCAUGGAGGAAUGUGACUUAGUCUGGGGAAGAAAUGUUAAUUUACUGAGCCAAGACAAGUAGGAGCUCACUAGGCAAAGGGGGGAGGAAGGGAGUGUUCUGGGCAGAGAGGACAUGUGCAAAGGCUCCGGGGCAGGAAGAAACAUUGUGCAUCCUGCGUCCAUCCCAGGAACUUAAAGAAGGUCUGGGUCACAGAUGCUCAAGAGCAAUAAGAAGAGAACUGCAAAACAAAAGUUAGAGUUCCUCAUAGGCAGGACUAGACACCUAGAGCUUCUGGGUGACCAUAUAAUUUUUCAUCCAAACUGCCACACUUUUCAGAGUGCUUAAAUACUAAAUGGGGAGUUCCCAUUGUGGCUCAGCAGUUAACAAACCAGACUAGCAACCAUGAGGCCUCGCUCAGUGGGUUGGGGAUCCGGCCAUGCUAUGAGCUGUGAUGCAGGUCUCAGACAUGGCUCGGAUUCCAUUCCACAUUGCUGUGGCUCUGGCGUAGGUUGGCAGCUACAGUUCUGACUAGAGCCCUAGCCUGGGAACCUCCAUGUGCUGCAGGUGUGGCUGUAAAAAGACAAAAAGGCAAAAAAAUAAAAAUACUAAUUGGGAUAGUUUAUUGGCACUACUUUUGAGAACUAGGUCUGUCCUGGCCAAACUAGAGUCAUAGUCACACUAUUUAUGGGCCAGUUUAAGGAUUAUAGUCCUUAUCCUAAGAGCUAAUGGGAAAUAAUUACUGGUUUAGCAAAGUGGAAAGUGUCAGCAUAGUCAUAUCUGCAUUUUUAAGGAUCAUUCUGAGUUUAGUUAGGAGUAUUGUACCAACAUCCAUUUCCUAGAUGUUAUGUUUAUGGCUAUGUAAACUUUUAUCAUUGGGAAAGCUAAGUGAAGGGUACAGGGAACUCUGGGUUUUAAUUUUGCAACUUCCUUCCUUUGAGUCUAAAAUUAUUUCAAAAUGAAAAAAUAUAUAUAUUAAGUUUACUCUAGUUACUGAGAACAGAUAAGAGAUAUGCCAGUUGGAAACACAAAAUUGAGAGAGGAGGCUAGCUGGAUAGAUAUGGAGGUGUUGGAAAGAAGGGAACUGAAUCGAGAGAUACUGAAGAUAGGAGUUCCCUGGUGGCCUAGUGAUUAAAGAUUCAGCAUUGUCACUGCUGUGGCUCAGAUUCAAUCCCUGGCCCAGAACUUCUGCAUGCCAUGGGUGCAGCCAAAAGAAAAGUUACUAACCUCAGAGCUGCAGCCUGGGUUGAGUCUCUGGUCUGGAAACUGAGAUCCCACAUCAAGCUGUUGCACAGUGCAGCAAAAAAAAAAAAAGAGAGAGAGAGAUACUGAAAAUAAAAUGCCAACUGCUCUGGGCAUUGCAUUUUUUGUGCUCUUUCAGAUCUACCAGGAGGAUCCCUAGAAAAAUAAAAAGACAGGAGGCACAGGGACUGCCUUUCUAGUAUACAGUUUCUCUCUUUUUAACUUCAGACUUUGCUCUUCUAGGGCACUUGGAACAGUGGCUGGGAAAAGCAAAUUCAUUCAUUCAUGUUAUCAUUAUCUCUUCCUUCUAUCGAAAUGGAACGAUGUUUCCCAAAACCAAAGGCCACAGAAUGGGAAUUAUUGGGUUUGAAGUUACCACAGACAAAUAAUUAAAAUAUACCCCUCUCUUCUUUUUGUGGAAUAGAGAGAAGACAGUUAGAAGGAAAAAGUCGACUGUGCUUUCCUAGAUAAAGGAGAUGUACAGAGGGAUGCAUGCUCAAAAUAAACUGCUUCUGAAAAAAAAUAUGCUUGAAAGUUAUUAUUGGGAAAGCAUAUUUUUUUUUUUAUUACUUGGAACAAGAGAGGUUACUGAUACUGGAACACUUCUAACAAGAAAUAUGUUAGCAUUUACUUAUUUUUCCAUAUUUGCUUGCAUGGCUUUGGGGAUUUUCUCAACUUUAAUUCCUCUUUGUUAUGUGUCUUCUUAUUUCUUAUAAGUCUUUCCCAACAGGGCAGAAGUUUUCAGUCUUUAUAAGAUAAAUCACUGUUGCCGGAUAUUGAACCUCAUUCAUGAACUAUCAGCAGGAAAUUGUUGUCUGCAUUGUUUUUUAUGGCACGAGGUAGCUGAGUCAGGAAGACAAAGGGGUUCUUUUGCUUUGAGCAGCGUUAGGGGUGAUAAUUUCUCUUGAUUAAGGGCAUGCAGUACCUUGUGCAUGUUCCUGGUGGCCUCAGUGGCUGUGCUGGGUAUUUGGGGAUGUGGGAAAGUGAUGAUAUUGGCACCGUAUUACUGUAACAUUGUCUUCAUAGUUUCCAAGAAGUAUUUCCACCCAAAAACAAAGAUGGAGAUUUUGGGUUUUGUCACACUAGAUGAGUGAAAUAAAUAAAUGGAUAGAGAUUUAAAUGGUGGAACGAUCUCUAAGCAAUAUUCGCCAAAUAAACCUUUAUGUAAGAAUAGUCGCCUGCUUACUAAGUAAAUGGUUAUCUCUAAAAGUCAUUUCUUUGAAACUCAGAAUGGAUUUUUUACAGCUUCAUUGAGGAUUCUUGGCAAAUCAAAAUGGUCAUUAAUGAACUAAUUACUUAUUUGGUGACAACACUUAAUAUUACCCUCAUGGAGUUCUGGUUGUGGCUCAGAAUUGCUUGGGGUGCAGUAGGUUAAGAACUCAACAAAGUGUCAGUAAGGAUGCAGGUCCAAUCCCUGGCUUCUCUCAGUGGGUUAAGGAUCUGGCGUUGCUGCAAGCUGUGGCAGAGCUUGCAGAUGUAGCUCAGAUCUGGUGUUGCCACAGCUGUGGUGUAGGCAGCAGCUGCAGCUUCAAUUUGACCCCUAGCCCGGGAACUUC
RNAcentral lists this long non-coding RNA (4818 nucleotides) under Sus scrofa (pig). RNAcentral's name for it is "lncRNA (ENSSSCG00000057243.1)". Lineage: Eukaryota; Metazoa; Chordata; Mammalia; Artiodactyla; Suidae. The record is from RNAcentral.